UACGUAGGGGGCAAGCGUUGUCCGGAAUCAUUGGGCGUAAAGCGCGUGUAGGCGGUCUCGCAAGUCGGAUGUGAAAGCCCAGGGCUCAACCCUGGAAGUGCACUCGAUACUGCGAGGCUAGAGUCCCGGAGAGGAUGGUGGAACUCUCGGUGUAGAGGUGAAAUUCGUAGAUAUCGAGAAGAACACCGGUGGCGAAGGCGGCCAUCUGGACGGUGACUGACGCUGAGACGCGAAAGCGUGGGGAGCAAACAGG
RNAcentral lists this ribosomal RNA (253 nucleotides) under uncultured bacterium. RNAcentral describes it as "partial 16S ribosomal RNA". It matches the Rfam family "Bacterial small subunit ribosomal RNA", at positions 524 to 776 of the family's 1533-position model. The record is from RNAcentral.